UGAGCCGUAUGAGAGGAAACUCUCACGUACGGUUCUUAGGGGGGAAAGUUGUAGUAAUAUAACUGACCUACCC
Molecule: non-coding RNA, 73 nt
Filed under: chicken gut metagenome
Source: RNAcentral